The sequence is a ribosomal RNA, 2850 nucleotides long. It matches the Rfam family "Bacterial large subunit ribosomal RNA".
UCAAGCGCGAAAAGGGCGUUUGGUGGAUGCCUAGGCAGCAAGAGGCGAUGAAGGACGUGAUACCCUGCGUUAAGCCAUGGGGAGCCGGGAAUAGGCUUUGAUCCAUGGAUCUCCGAAUGGGGAAACCCACCUGACAUUCCGCUAUAAUUGCUUCGGCAGCUUAUAGCUGGGUGAGACAGGUACUUUUACCCUGAAUACAUAGGGGUUUAAGGGCAAACCCGGGGAACUGAAACAUCUAAGUACCCGGAGGAAAGGAAAUCAACAGAGACUCCGUCAGUAGUGGCGAGCGAACGCGGACCAGCCGAGCCUGGAAGUCUGAGCAGAAUGGUCUGGAAAGGCCAGCGACAUGGGUGACAGCCCCGUAUGCGAAGGACCAAGGGACGUAUCAAGUAGGGCGGGACACGUGUAAUCCUGUCUGAAGAUCGGGGGACCACCCCCGAAGGCUAAGUACUCCUUGCUGACCGAUAGCGAACCAGUACCGUGAGGGAAAGGUGAAAAGCACCCCGACGAGGGGAGUGAAACAGUACCUGAAACCGGACGCCUACAAGCAGUCGGAGCCUCCUUGAGAGGUGACGGCGUACCUUUUGUAUAAUGGGUCAACGACUUGGUCUUACGAGCAAGCUUAAGCCGGUAGGUGUAGGCGCAGCGAAAGCGAGUCUUAAAAGGGCGCAUGAGUUCGUGGGAUCAGACCCGAAACCAGGUGAUCUAGCCAUGAGCAGGAUGAAGGUUGGGUAACACCAACUGGAGGUCCGAACCAACACCCGUUGAAAAGGGUCUGGAUGACUUGUGGCUAGGGGUGAAAGGCUAAUCAAACCUGGAGAUAGCUGGUUCUCCGCGAAAGCUAUUUAGGUAGCGCCUCGGACGAAUACCCACGGGGGUAGAGCACUGCAUGGAUGAUGGGGGCCCACAGCCUUACUGAGUCUAAGCAAACUCCGAAUACCGUGGAGUACUAUCCGGGAGACACACGGUGGGUGCUAACGUCCAUCGUGAAGAGGGAAACAACCCUGACCUGCAGCUAAGGCCCCUAAUUCGUGGCUAAGUGGGAAAGCAUGUGGGACGGCCAAAACAACCAGGAUGUUGGCUUAGAAGCAGCCAUCAUUUAAAGAUAGCGUAACAGCUCACUGGUCUAGACAAGCUGUCCUGCGGCGAAGAUGUAACGGGGCUCAAGCCACGAGCCGAAGCUCAGGAUGCACAGCGAUGUGCGUGGUAGCGGAGCGUUCCGUGAUAUAGCUCAUCAUGUUGUAUCCGUAGGGUGUGCAUUCAUUGCGCACCAUGACGGUGACCAACAUGGAGAGCUUUCUGUGAAGCCGGGCCGUAAGGCAUCCGGUGGAGAGAUCGGAAGCGAGAAUGUUGACAUGAGUAGCGACAAACAGGGUGAGAAACCCUGUCGCCGAAAGUCCAAGGGUUCCUGCUUAAAGCUAAUCUGAGCAGGGUAAGCCGGCCCCUAAGGCGAGGCCGAAAGGCGUAGUCGAUGGGAACCAGGUUAAUAUUCCUGGGCCAGUGGGAUGUGACGGAUCGCAGGUGUAGUUCGGUCUUAUCGGAUUGACCGGGCUGCUGAGCGGUUCCAGGAAAUAGCCCCACAUCAGACCGUACCCUAAACCGACACAGGUGGACUGGUAGAGCAUACCAAGGCGCUUGAGAGAACCACGUUAAAGGAACUCGGCAAAAUGCUCCCGUAAGUUCGCGAGAAGGGAGCCCCAUAUGUGCGCAAGCAUGUGUGGGGGGCACAAACCAGGGGGUGGCGACUGUUUACUUAAAACACAGGGCUGUGCGAAGCCGUAAGGCGACGUAUACAGUCUGACGCCUGCCCGGUGCUGGAAGAUUAAGAGGAGGGGUGCAAGCUCUGAAUUGAAGUCCCAGUAAACGGCGGCCGUAACUAUAACGGUCCUAAGGUAGCGAAAUUCCUUGUCGGGUAAGUUCCGACCUGCACGAAUGGCGUAACGAUCUCCCCGCUGUCUCUAACGUGGACUCAGCGAAAUUGAACUGUCUGUCAAGAUGCAGACUACCCGCGGUUAGACGGAAAGACCCCAUGAACCUUUACUCCAGCUUUGCACUGGUAUCAGGAUUGUGAUGUGCAGGAUAGGUGGUAGGCAUCGAAGCGGGGACGCCAGUUCUCGUGGAGCCGCCCUUGAGAUACCACCCUUCGCCAUCUUGAUAUCUAACCGCGGCCCGUAAUCCGGGUCCGGGACCCUGCAUGGUGGGGAGUUUGACUGGGGCGGUCGCCUCCCAAACAGUAACGGAGGCGCGCGAUGGUUGGCUCAGACCGGUCGGAAAUCGGUCGUUGAGUGCAAUGGCAGAAGCCAGCCUGACUGCGAGACUGACAAGUCGAGCAGAGACGAAAGUCGGUCAUAGUGAUCCGGUGGUCCCAAGUGGGAGGGCCAUCGCUCAACGGAUAAAAGGUACUCUGGGGAUAACAGGCUGAUGAUGCCCAAGAGUCCAUAUCGACGGCAUCGUUUGGCACCUCGAUGUCGGCUCAUCUCAUCCUGGGGCUGGAGCAGGUCCCAAGGGUAUGGCUGUUCGCCAUUUAAAGAGGUACGUGAGCUGGGUUUAGAACGUCGUGAGACAGUUCGGUCCCUAUCUGCCGUGGGUGCAGGAGACUUGAGAAGAGUUGACCCUAGUACGAGAGGACCGGGUUGAACGCUCCACUGGUGGACCAGUUGUCGUGCCAACGGCAGUGCUGGGUAGCUAUGAGCGGACAGGAUAACCGCUGAAGGCAUCUAAGCGGGAAGCCCCCUUCAAAACAAGGUCUCCCUUGAGGGCCGUGGAAGACCACCACGUCGAUAGGCCAGAGGUGUAAGCGCAGCAAUGCGUUCAGCUGACUGGUACUAAUUGCCCGAUUGGCUUGAUCUG